AUGAAACUAACCCGUAUUGACGUUGUUUUCAGCAGAACUGCCAUGGUGUUGUUUAUUGUGCAGAAAACAAAUGUUCUCGAAAUGACCUACAAAUCCACGGAGAAAGCUUUUGGAAAAUAUAAAAAAUAUUGGCGAAAGAAUCAAGGCCAGGGGGCCCACACACUAUCCAUGAGGGUGGGGGGCGAGCCCCCUCCCCCUGGGCGCGCCCCCUGUCUCAUGGGCCCCCUGGAGCUCCACCGACCUCAACUCCAACUCCAUAUAUUCUGUUUCGCAGAGAGAAAAACGGAAGAGAAAUUUUCAUCGCGUUUUACGAUACGGAGCCGCCGCCAAGCCCUAAUCUCUCUCGGGAGGGCUGAUCUGGAGUUCGUUUGGGGCUCCGGAGAGGGGGAUUCGUCGCCGUCGUCAUCAUCAACCAUCCUCCAUCACCAAUUUCAUGAUGCUCACCGCCAUGCGUGA
RNAcentral lists this ribosomal RNA (456 nucleotides) under Triticum aestivum (bread wheat). Its description in RNAcentral is "partial small subunit ribosomal RNA". Lineage: Eukaryota; Viridiplantae; Streptophyta; Magnoliopsida; Poales; Poaceae. The record is from RNAcentral.